RNAcentral lists this ribosomal RNA (985 nucleotides) under Acidimicrobiia bacterium. RNAcentral's name for it is "partial 23S ribosomal RNA". It matches the Rfam family "Bacterial large subunit ribosomal RNA", at positions 1953 to 2925 of the family's 2925-position model. Lineage: Bacteria; Bacillati; Actinomycetota; Acidimicrobiia. The record is from RNAcentral.
AAGGUAGCGAAAUUCCUUGUCGGGUAAGUUCCGACCUGCACGAAUGGCGCAACGACUUUCCCACUGUCUCAACCAUAGACCCAGCGAAAUUGAAGUACGAGUAAAGAUGCUCGUUAGCUGCAGAAGGACGAGAAGACCCCGUGGACCUUUACUGCAACCUGAUAUUGGUGUUUGGUCUACCUUGUGUAGGAUAGGUGGGAGACUGGGAAGCACAGGCGCCAGCCCGUGUGGAGUCAAUCUUGAAAUACCACUCUUUGUAUGCUGGGCACCUAAUCCAGGUCCGUAAUCCGGAUCGGAGACAGUGGCAGGUGGGUAGUUUGACUGGGGCGGUCGCCUCCUAAAAUGUAACGGAGGCGCCCAAAGGUUCCCUCAGCCUGGUCGGCAAUCAGGCGGCGAGUGUAAUGGCACAAGGGAGCUUGACUGUGAGACCUACAAGUCGAACAGGAGCGAAAGCUGGGCAUAGUGAUCCGGCGGUUGCGUGUGGAAGCGCCGUCGCUCAACGGAUAAAAGGUACCCCGGGGAUAACAGGCUCAUCUUCCCCAAGAGUCCAUAUCGACGGGAAGGUUUGGCACCUCGAUGUCGGCUCAUCGCAUCCUGGGGCUGAAGCAGGUCCCAAGGGUUGGGCUGUUCGCCCAUUAAAGCGGUACGCGAGCUGGGUUUAGAACGUCGUGAGACAGUUCGGUCCCUAUCCUCUGUAGCCGAAGGUGAUUUGAGGAAAGCUGUCCCUAGUACGAGAGGACCGGGACGGACGCAGCUCUCGUGUGCCAGUUGUUCUGCCAAGGGCAUGGCUGGUUAGCGACCUGCGGAAAGGAUAACCGCUGAAAGCAUCUAAGCGGGAAGCCUGUUCCGAGAUCAGAUCUCCCACCGGGUUAACCGGGUAAGGCCCGUGGCAGACUACCACGUAGAUAGGCCGGAAGUGUAAGCGCGGCAACGCGUUCAGCUGACCGGUACUAAUCGGCCGAGGGCUUAGGUUUCACCAACCUCU